RNAcentral lists this ribosomal RNA (1214 nucleotides) under Verrucaria lapidicola. RNAcentral describes it as "eukaryotic LSU rRNA". The stretch from base 770 to 1214 matches the Rfam family "Eukaryotic large subunit ribosomal RNA", at positions 1 to 442 of the family's 3401-position model. Lineage: Eukaryota; Fungi; Ascomycota; Eurotiomycetes; Verrucariales; Verrucariaceae. The record is from RNAcentral.
GGAAGUAAAAGUCGUAACAAGGUUUCGGUAAAGAUCCUUCUUUGAAGCCUCCCACACAUCGACUAUAACCCUGUGUGCAGUCUAGAAAUAGGCGACGUCACCCCUGUGCUGGAACGCUACCUCAACAAUGGCGGAUCAGCAGCCAGGCUUUCCUGGUCCACAGAUUAGGUGGUGGCGGUCCCCCGAACGUCUUGUUGGGGAUGAAGAUAUAAUCGGUCUCCGUCACUUCGAUUUGAUGGUUGAGAGACGUUCCGUAGGUGAACCUGCGGAAGGAUCAUUAUCGAGUUAGGGUCCUCUGGGCCCCAAUCUCCAACCCUUGUCUAUAUUACCAUGUUGCUUUGGCGGGUCCGUCUUUAACCGGACCGUUGGGGGGUUUUCCCCCUGGCUCGUGCCCGUCAGUAGCCCCCAUAAAUUCUUGUCACGGUGGUGUCUAAGUCUCAAAAUAAUAACUAAAACUUUCAACAACGGAUCUCUUGGUUCUGGCAUCGAUGAAGAACGCAGCGAAAUGCGAUAAGUAAUGCGAAUUGCAGAAUUCCGUGAGUCAUCGAAUCUUUGAACGCACAUUGCGCCCUUUGGUAUUCCGAAGGGCAUGCCUGUUCGAGCGUCAUUAUCAACCCUCAAGCUCGGCUUGCUGUUGGGUCCCACCGCUGAGACACUCGGUGGACCCGAAAGAUAAUGGCAGAGCCCGUGGGGACGCUGGAUGCAACGAGCUUUUCAGCACGCGUCUGGACGUCCUGCGGCCCGGUCUUACCAAAUCUACGUCUCAGAUUGACCUCGGAUCAGGUAGGGAUACCCGCUGAACUUAAGCAUAUCAAUAAGCGGAGGAAAAGAAACCAACAGGGAUUGCCUCAGUAACGGCGAGUGAAGCGGCAACAGCUCAAAUUUGAAAUCUGGCUCCUUUGGGGGUCCGAGUUGUAAUUUGUAGAGGAUGCUUCGGGUAAGGCUGCGGUCUAAUUUGCUUGGAACAGCGAGUCAUAGAGGGUGAGAAUCCCGUCUAGGAUGGCGAGCCGCGCCCGUGUGAAGCUCCUUCGACGAGUCGAGUUGUUUGGGAAUGCAGCUCUAAAUGGGUGGUAAAUUUCAUCUAAAGCUAAAUAUUGGCCAGAGACCGAUAGCGCACAAGUAGAGUGAUCGAAAGAUGAAAAGCACUUUGAAAAGAGAGUUAAACAGUAUGUGAAAUUGUUGAAAGGGAAGCGCUUGCAAUCAGACUUGAGUGU